This is a long non-coding RNA of Maniola jurtina (meadow brown), 159 nucleotides long. RefSeq lists it as uncharacterized. The transcript has 3 exons. The record is from RefSeq and is a predicted model, not a curated record. NCBI's taxonomy places the organism in Eukaryota, Metazoa, Arthropoda, Insecta, Lepidoptera, Nymphalidae.
UAACAAUACGAUGCAAAAUUCCCUCAUUAUUGUGACGAUUGAGUAAUGUAAUGCAGCACCCAAAGCGUGUUUGUUGGUUUGUAAUUGUGCUUCACUCAAUUCAUACAGUACCCAUUUCUCGAGCUUUUGCACUUUACCAAUUUGAUUUAGUGAUAAAAU